This 336-nucleotide ribosomal RNA is filed under the name Triticum aestivum (bread wheat). RNAcentral describes it as "partial small subunit ribosomal RNA". The record is from RNAcentral. Lineage: Eukaryota; Viridiplantae; Streptophyta; Magnoliopsida; Poales; Poaceae.
AUGUUCUAUUUUACAUCUUUGGGUGCACAGGUUGAUCGUAGUAUCAAUGUUGGAGGUGCUCCAUACGUUUUCAAGAUUAAUGGGGUGGUCUACCAUCGUAUUGGUUCGUUGUUUCCGGUGGAGGGUGCAAUCCCCAAGUUUGUGCAACUGUACAUGGUGGAUUCUGCCGAUGAGGUGGACUGUAGGCUGAAUGUGUUUGAGGGAGAAGAAACUGCCUCACUUGAGCCUGAUCCUGAGAUUGUUUCUUCUCUGAUAAACAUGCUCAAUGUGUUGGGGAACGUAGCAUGCAAUUUCAAAAAACUUCCUACGAUCACGCAAGAUCUAUCUAGGAGAUGA